Molecule: long non-coding RNA, 334 nt
Filed under: Heterocephalus glaber (naked mole-rat)
Lineage: Eukaryota; Metazoa; Chordata; Mammalia; Rodentia; Bathyergidae
Description: lncRNA (ENSHGLG00000049962.1)
Source: RNAcentral
GUAUUGCCCACACGAAGAACUUCAGUGCUUUUCAGAGCUGGAUAUACCCUAAUUACUAAUGCCGACUAAGGAGUUUUGCCGAACUGAAACUCUGCUCACUUCAACCAGCAAAGCCUCAGGCAAACCAGGGCAAGUGGUUGCCUUGCACUCACCUUUUCUGGAGUACCCAGAACAGAGGGAUUUCCUUGUUUUGUUUAAAUGUUGUCUCUCAGCAAAAGAGGAAAGGGAAUGAUCCUGGGACAUACUUUGUUACUGAGUGCUUUCCACAGAGCCUCCUGGCACCUACCUAGUGAAGAACUAAUGCCUGUUGACAAAAGAUAAGCAUAAACCUACC